This 77-nucleotide transfer RNA is filed under the name Aliivibrio fischeri. Its description in RNAcentral is "tRNA-Val". RNAcentral also lists the same sequence under 6 other names. Lineage: Bacteria; Pseudomonadati; Pseudomonadota; Gammaproteobacteria; Vibrionales; Vibrionaceae. The record is from RNAcentral.
GCGUCUGUAGCUCAGUUGGUUAGAGUACUACCUUGACAUGGUAGGGGUCGGUGAUUCGAGUUCACUCAGACGCACCA